This 407-nucleotide ribosomal RNA is filed under the name uncultured Nocardioides sp. RNAcentral's name for it is "bacterial SSU rRNA". It matches the Rfam family "Bacterial small subunit ribosomal RNA", at positions 355 to 774 of the family's 1533-position model. Lineage: Bacteria; Bacillati; Actinomycetota; Actinomycetes; Propionibacteriales; Nocardioidaceae. The record is from RNAcentral.
UGGGGAAUAUUGGACAAUGGGCGAAAGCCUGAUCCAGCAACGCCGCGUGAGGGAUGACUGCCUUCGGGUUGUAAACCUCUUUCAGUAGGGACGAAGCGCAAGUGACGGUACCUACAGAAGAAGCACCGGCCAACUACGUGCCAGCAGCCGCGGUAAUACGUAGGGUGCGAGCGUUGUCCGGAAUUAUUGGGCGUAAAGGGCUCGUAGGCGGUCUGUCGCGUCGGGAGUGAAAACUCAGGGCUUAACCCUGAGCCUGCUUCCGAUACGGGCAGACUAGAGGUAUGCAGGGGAGAACGGAAUUCCUGGUGUAGCGGUGGAAUGCGCAGAUAUCAGGAGGAACACCGGUGGCGAAGGCGGUUCUCUGGGCAUUACCUGACGCUGAGGAGCGAAAGUGUGGGGAGCGAACA